GGGGAGUGGCAGACGGGUGAGUAACGCGUGGGAACAUACCCUUUCCUGCGGAAUAGCUCCGGGAAACUGGAAUUAAUACCGCAUACGCCCUACGGGGGAAAGAUUUAUCGGGGAAGGAUUGGCCCGCGUUGGAUUAGCUAGUUGGUGGGGUAAAGGCCUACCAAGGCGACGAUCCAUAGCUGGUCUGAGAGGAUGAUCAGCCACAUUGGGACUGAGACACGGCCCAAACUCCUACGGGAGGCAGCAGUGGGGAAUAUUGGACAAUGGGCGCAAGCCUGAUCCAGCCAUGCCGCGUGAGUGAUGAAGGCCUUAGGGUUGUAAAGCUCUUUCACCGGAGAAGAUAAUGACGGUAUCCGGAGAAGAAGCCCCGGCUAACUUCGUGCCAGCAGCCGCGGUAAUACGAAGGGGGCUAGCGUUGUUCGGAAUUACUGGGCGUAAAGCGCACGUAGGCGGAUAUUUAAGUCAGGGGUGAAAUCCCAGAGCUCAACUCUGGAACUGCCUUUGAUACUGGGUAUCUUGAGUAUGGAAGAGGUAAGUGGAAUUCCGAGUGUAGAGGUGAAAUUCGUAGAUAUUCGGAGGAACACCAGUGGCGAAGGCGGCUUACUGGUCCAUUACUGACGCUGAGGUGCGAAAGCGUGGGGAGCAAACAGG
Molecule: ribosomal RNA, 651 nt
Filed under: Rhizobium sp.
Lineage: Bacteria; Pseudomonadati; Pseudomonadota; Alphaproteobacteria; Hyphomicrobiales; Rhizobiaceae
Description: bacterial SSU rRNA
Rfam family: Bacterial small subunit ribosomal RNA
Source: RNAcentral